GCCGGGCGUGGUGGCUCACGCCUGUAAUCCCAGCACUUUGGGAGGCCAAGGCGAGUGGAUCACCUGAGGUCAGGAGUUCGAGACCAGCCUGACCAACAUGGUGAAAACCCGUCUCUC
This is a non-coding RNA of Macaca mulatta (Rhesus monkey), 117 nucleotides long. The record is from Rfam. NCBI's taxonomy places the organism in Eukaryota, Metazoa, Chordata, Mammalia, Primates, Cercopithecidae.